This 75-nucleotide transfer RNA is filed under the name Candidatus Hydrogenedentota bacterium. RNAcentral describes it as "tRNA-Arg". It matches the Rfam family "tRNA". From Rfam's summary of the family: Transfer RNA (tRNA) molecules are approximately 80 nucleotides in length. Their secondary structure includes four short double-helical elements and three loops (D, anti-codon, and T loops). Further hydrogen bonds mediate the characteristic L-shaped molecular structure. tRNAs have two regions of fundamental functional importance: the anti-codon, which is responsible for specific mRNA codon recognition, and the 3' end, to which the tRNAs corresponding amino acid is attached (by aminoacyl-tRNA synthetases). tRNAs cope with the degeneracy of the genetic code in two manners: having more than one tRNA (with a specific anti-codon) for a particular amino acid; and 'wobble' base-pairing, i.e. permitting non-standard base-pairing at the 3rd anti-codon position. Lineage: Bacteria; Pseudomonadati; Candidatus Hydrogenedentota. The record is from RNAcentral.
GCCCCGAUAGUUCAAUGGAUAGAAUACGACCCUCCUAAGGUCUAGAUGCAGGUUCGAUUCCUGCUCGGGGCACCA